This 407-nucleotide ribosomal RNA is filed under the name uncultured fungus. RNAcentral's name for it is "eukaryotic LSU rRNA". Lineage: Eukaryota; Fungi. The record is from RNAcentral.
AGAGUUAAAUAGUACGUGAAAUUGUUGAAAGGGAAACGAUUGAAGUCAGUCGUGCUAGUGAGAAAUCAACUUGGGGGGUUUUGGGUUCUUAAGUUGCGGUAGGGUUAAACCACCUUUCUCUUGAACUCUGAGCUUUUUGGGUGUACUUUCUCUUUGGCAGGUCAGCGUCGAUUUUGGGGGUUGUAAAAUAACUGGGGAAAUGUAGCUCCCUUCGGGGAGUGUUAUAGACCCUGGGGGAUGCAGCCCGCGGGAUCGAGGAUUGCAGCAAAUGCUUUUGGCUUGUCGCCUAUCCGCUGGGUGUUACCCCGCUUGUGACAACAUUCUUGACACUUUGUGGGACUUGACAGUCACAGGUUAGAGCGUUCUGAAAUUUGCUAAGGAUGCUGACGUAAUGGCUUUAAACGACC